AUGGGUGGCGCGGCAGACGCCAAGAAGGCGCCCUUCGGCUCGUCGCUCGUGUCGGUGUUCAUGCACGCGGACGCAGCGGACGUGGCGCUCAUGGUGCUGGGCCUCGUGGGCGCCAUCGGCGACGGCGUCUCCACGCCGGCGAUGCUGCUCAUCACCAGCCGCAUCUUCAACGACCUCGGCAGCGGCCCCGACCUCCUCCAGGAGUUCAGCUCCAAGAUCGACGAGAACGCGAGGAACCUCGUCUUCUUGGCGCUGGGCUGCUGGGUCAUGGCGUUCCUAGAGGGGUAUUGCUGGUCACGGACGGCGGAGCGGCAGGCGUCCCGGAUGCGCGCGCGGUACCUGGCGGCGGUGCUCCGGCAGGACGUGGAGUACUUCGACCUCAAGGUGGGGUCGACGGCGGAGGUGAUCGCCAGCGUCUCCAACGACAGCCUGGUGGUGCAGGACGUGCUGAGCGAGAAGGUGCCCAACUUCGUCAUGAACGCCGCCAUGUUCUUCGGCAGCUACGCCGUGGCCUUGGCGCUGCUGUGGCGGCUCACCCUGGUGGCGCUGCCGUCGGUCCUGCUCCUCAUCAUCCCCGGCUUCAUGUACGGCCGCAUCCUCAUCGGCCUCGCGCGCCGGAUCAGGGAGCAGUACACGCGCCCGGGCGCCGUCGCCGAGCAGGCCAUCUCGUCGGUGCGCACCGUCUACUCCUUCGCGGCGGAGCGCGCCACCAUGGCGCAGUUCUCGGCGGCGCUCGAGGAGUCGACGCGGCUCGGGAUCAAGCAGGGGCUCGCCAAGGGCAUCGCCGUCGGCAGCAACGGCAUCACCUUCGCCAUCUGGGCCUUCAACGUCUGGUAUGGCAGCCGCCUCGUCAUGUACCACGGCUACCAGGGCGGCACCGUCUUCGCCGCCUCCGCCUCCAUCAUCCUCGGCGGCCUGGCGCUGGGGUCGGGGCUGUCGAACGUCAAGUACUUCUCGGAGGCGAGCGCGGCGGGGGAGAGGGUGCUGGCGGUGAUCCGGCGGGUGCCCAAGAUCGACUCGGGCAGCGACACCGGGGAGGAGCUGGCGAACGUGGCCGGCGAGGUGGAGUUCAAGAACGUGGAGUUCUGCUACCCGUCGCGGCCGGAGAGCCCCAUCUUCUCCAGCUUCUGCCUGCGCGUGCCGGCGGGUCGCACGGCGGCGCUGGUGGGCAGCAGCGGGUCCGGCAAGUCGACGGUGGUGGCGCUGCUGGAGCGGUUCUACGACCCGUUGGGCGGGGAGGUGGCGCUGGACGGCGUGGACAUCCGGCGGCUUCGGCUCAAGUGGCUGCGCGCGCAGAUGGGGCUGGUCAGCCAGGAGCCGGCGCUGUUCGCCACGUCCAUCAUGGAGAACAUCCUGUUCGGCAAGGAGGACGCGACGCCGGAUGAGGUCACCGCCGCCGCCAAGGCCGCCAAUGCGCACAACUUCAUCUCCCAGCUGCCGCAGGGCUACGACACACAGGUGGGUGAGCGUGGUGUCCAAAUGUCCGGAGGGCAGAAGCAGAGGAUUGCUAUUGCCAGAGCAAUCCUGAAGUCACCCAAGAUCCUCCUCCUUGAUGAAGCCACCAGUGCAUUGGAUACUGAGUCAGAGCGUGUCGUACAGGAGGCACUCGACCUGGCCUCUGUAGGCCGGACGACUAUCGUCGUUGCACAUCGCCUCUCCACUAUCCGCAAUGCUGACAUGAUUGCUGUCAUGCAGUACGGCGAGGUCAAGGAGCUGGGCUCCCAUGAAGAGCUCAUCGCCGAUGAGAAUGGCCUCUACUCAUCUCUAGUUCGCCUUCAGCAGACUAGAGAAUCGAAUGAGGUUGAUGAGGUCAGUGGAGCCGGCAGUACUUCUGCCGUGGGGCAGUCCAGUAGCCACAGCAUGAGCAGGAGAUUCUCCGCGGCUAGCAGGUCAAGCUCAGCCCGUUCAUUGGGUGAUGCAGGCGAUGCUGACCACACUGAGGAGGCAAAGCUUCCACUGCCGUCCUUCAGAAGGCUGCUUAUGCUUAAUUCACCAGAGUGGAGGCAGGCGCUUAUGGGAGGCUUCAGUGCAAUUGUGUUCGGAGGCAUCCAGCCUGCUUAUGCAUACGCCAUGGGAAGCAUGAUCUCAGUCUACUUCUUGACCGAUCACGACGAGAUCAGGGACAAAACAAGGGCCUACGCUCUCAUCUUUGUCGCCCUUGCAGUGCUCUCGUUCUUGAUCAAUAUUGGACAGCAUUACAACUUUGGUGCUAUGGGAGAAUACCUCACCAAGAGGAUCAGGGAACAGAUGCUAACAAAAAUCCUCACUUUCGAGAUCGGAUGGUUUGACCGUGAUGAAAACUCCAGCGGUGCCAUAUGCUCACAGCUUGCCAAGGACGCCAACGUGGUGAGGUCUCUAGUGGGUGACCGUAUGGCGCUGGUGAUCCAAACAGUUUCUGCGGUGCUUAUUGCUUGCACCAUGGGUCUGGUCAUUGCCUGGCGCCUGGCCCUUGUCAUGAUAGCAGUGCAGCCUCUCAUCAUCGUCUGCUUCUAUGCUCGUCGUGUCUUACUCAAGAGCAUGUCCAAGAAAUCAAUACAGGCACAAUCCGAAAGUAGCAAGCUAGCUGCUGAGGCUGUCUCCAAUCUACGCACAAUCACGGCCUUCUCAUCCCAGGACCGCAUCUUAGGCCUCUUCAACCAAGCACAGAACGGCCCACGGAAGGAAAGCAUCCGGCAGUCGUGGAUUGCAGGCCUUGGCCUUGGCACUUCCAUGAGCCUGAUGACAUGCACAUGGGCCCUGGAUUUCUGGUUUGGUGGCCGGCUCAUAGCUCAGCACCACAUUACUGCCAAGGCACUCUUCCAGACCUUCAUGAUUCUAGUAAGCACAGGGCGUGUGAUUGCUGAUGCAGGUAGCAUGACAACAGACCUAGCUAAGGGUUCUGAUGCAAUCGCCUCGGUGUUUGCUGUUCUCGACCGGGUAACAGAAAUCGACCCUGACAACCCUGAAGGAUACAAGCCAGAGAAGCUUAAAGGUGAAGUGGACAUCAGAGGAGUCGACUUUGCAUACCCGUCGAGGCCAGAUGUGAUCAUCUUCAAAGGAUUCUCUUUAAGCAUCCAAUCAGGCAAGUCAACAGCCCUGGUUGGGCAAAGUGGCUCUGGCAAGUCGACCAUCAUUGGGCUUAUAGAGCGAUUCUAUGACCCGGUGAGGGGAAUGGUAAAAAUUGAUGGCAGAGACAUCAAAACAUAUAAUCUUCGAGCCCUGCGGCGGCACAUUGGACUGGUCAGCCAGGAGCCAACGCUAUUUGCUGGCACAAUCAGAGAGAACAUUGUGUAUGGCACAGAAACAGCAAGUGAGGCAGAAAUUGAGAAUGCAGCAAGGUCCGCCAAUGCACAUGACUUCAUCAGCAACCUCAAGGAUGGAUAUGACACAUGGUGUGGCGAGAGAGGUGUUCAGCUGUCAGGAGGGCAGAAGCAGCGCAUUGCUAUUGCCCGUGCCAUCCUGAAGAACCCGGCCAUCUUGCUACUAGAUGAGGCUACCAGUGCACUGGACAGCCAGUCCGAAAAGGUGGUACAGGAGGCACUGGACAGAGUGAUGGUUGGCAGGACAAGUGUGGUGGUGGCACACAGGCUCAGCACAAUCCAAAACUGUGACCUCAUCACUGUGCUCGACAAAGGAAUUGUUGUGGAGAAGGGCACACACUCAUCCCUCAUGUCAAAGGGUCCCUCUGGAACAUAUUAUAGCUUGGUUAGUUUGCAACAAGGAGGCAACCAGAACUAA
This 3717-nucleotide ribosomal RNA is filed under the name Triticum aestivum (bread wheat). RNAcentral's name for it is "partial small subunit ribosomal RNA". Lineage: Eukaryota; Viridiplantae; Streptophyta; Magnoliopsida; Poales; Poaceae. The record is from RNAcentral.